UUUCAGGAAGGAACACAAAAAACACUCCGCGGGCUGCGCUUUUCUCUCCCUUCAGAAAGAUCCUACCAACCUGACACUGCAGGAAUUCCUGAAGCUGGACAAAGAACGAAUGAAAAAUGCAAUUAAAAAAGAAAUUUCUCAGAAGGUGACCGAGGUUGAAGAUGCAGCCAAGAGUGUGCGUCGUGACAUAGAGAAUCUGGUCCCCUAGGCUACUGUAGCUUCUCACUUGCCGGUGACAUCUGUCUUGUAUGUCUGCACUGGCACUGCCAAUUUGACGGAAUGACUGUGUUUCCCGAGACUGCUUUCAGAAUGGCCGUCUCUGUGAGAAGCAGGCUGAAUUCUCCGUCACUCACCUGAGUCUGUCUGGGAAGUACCUGGGGUUUGAUGCCCUGCAUACGUAAUCUUUUUUUGCAGGGAUUCUCCUGUUCUUCCUGUUGGUUCAAUUAAGGAUUACUACUUGUGGUUUUAUUUGUUCUUUUUUUUUUUUAAACCCAGUUGUUUCCAUUUUGGAGAUGCUGGUAGCUCUGGUGCAGAAACUUGUGUUUCUUGCAAGAGCUGGCAGGCACUUCCAUUUUUAUACUGAAUAUACCAAUGCUUUUGGAUACUUUUGGAAAUAAAAAGGGGAAGGAGUUUUAAAACUCCUUCAGGGAUUUAGGAUUCUGGCUAAUAAUAUCUAAUUAUACCAAAUCUUAGUGUGCCUGGUAUCCUUGUAAACUUCUAUUUGUAGUUGGCUGCUGCCUCAUGUUGGUGCAUUUAUAAAUAAAAGUUGAAGGCAAAACUGCAAAG
Molecule: long non-coding RNA, 786 nt
Organism: Aptenodytes forsteri (emperor penguin)
Lineage: Eukaryota; Metazoa; Chordata; Aves; Sphenisciformes; Spheniscidae
Exons: 2
Source: RefSeq, a predicted model, not a curated record